RNAcentral lists this ribosomal RNA (292 nucleotides) under uncultured bacterium. RNAcentral's name for it is "partial 16S ribosomal RNA". It matches the Rfam family "Bacterial small subunit ribosomal RNA", at positions 505 to 796 of the family's 1533-position model. The record is from RNAcentral.
UUGCUAGCAGCCGCGGUAAUACGUAGGCAGCGAGCGUUGUUCGGAGUUACUGGGCGUAAAGAGUGCGUAGGCGGUGCUCUAAGUUUGGUGUGAAAUCUCCCGGCUUAACUGGGAGGGUGCGCCGAAAACUGGAGUGCUUGAGUGUGGGAGAGGUAAGCGGAAUUCCUGGUGUAGCGGUGAAAUGCGUAGAUAUCAGGAGGAACACCUGUGGUGUAGACAGCUUACUGGACCAUGACUGACGCUGAGGCACGAAAGCGUGGGGAGCAAACAGGAUUAGAAACCCGCGUAGUCC